AUGAUUGAAGGGGGUGAGCUUCGUGUACGGCAUUCGAAGGAUGAAGAGGGUUUCAUGCACAGGAGGUCGGUGAUGGAGGUUGAAAAUAGUUUGAUGGCUGGAAGGGAGAAGGUUCACAAUUUGAAGUGUGAUGCAAACUGGACGGGUGGAUAUGUGUUGUCUGCAGAUGGCUUUGGUGCAGAAUUAGGUGACAACCUCUCUCAACUCUUCACCAUUUGCUUCUGUUUUUAUUGGAUUUGUGAUUUCAUUUUGGGCAAGCUUUUUGGACAGCAAAGGUAG
Molecule: non-coding RNA, 279 nt
Organism: Vicia faba (fava bean)
Lineage: Eukaryota; Viridiplantae; Streptophyta; Magnoliopsida; Fabales; Fabaceae
Source: the annotation of a GenBank genome assembly